Molecule: long non-coding RNA, 6489 nt
Filed under: Setaria italica (foxtail millet)
Lineage: Eukaryota; Viridiplantae; Streptophyta; Magnoliopsida; Poales; Poaceae
Description: long non-coding RNA (SITA_LNC003267)
Source: RNAcentral
UGUUCAGACGGUAAGUUGUAGGAUGUGUAACUCAGAUAUUGUAUAGAUCUUUAAAUAGCUAUAGUCUAACUUUCUUGCUUAUGCAGGCCGAGGAAACAGCUAUUGCCUCAUUGAAGAGAGCGCUUGGUUCUCUGAACACACACCUUGCCUCAAAGACGUUCCUUGUUGGGCAUUCUGUUACUUUAGCUGACAUUGUAUUGACAUGCAACCUCUACACUGGAUUUAUGUAUAUCCUGACCAAGAGCUUCACAUCUGAAUUCCCUCAUGUUGAGAGGUAUUUCUGGACCAUGGUUAACCAGCCUAACUUCAAGAAGGUCAUCGGCGAUGUCAAGCAGGCAGAGUCAGUGCCUCCUGUUCAGAAAAAGGCCGCUCCUCAGCCAAAGGCAAAGGAUGUCAAGAAAGAAGCCCCAAAGGAGGCCCCGAAGCCAAAGGUGGAGGCACCAGCAGAAGAGGAGGCACCAAAGCCGAAGCCGAAGAAUCCUCUUGACUUGCUGCCACCAAGCAAGAUGAUCCUCGAUGACUGGAAGAGGCUGUACUCAAACACAAAGACCAACUUCCGUGAGGUUGCCAUCAAAGGUAUCUUCUCCACCUUAUAUCAACAAUAUAUUAUUUUUUUCCUUCCAAUCUUUGAAUGUGAGUGGCUGGUGCUGUAGUCUCGUUUGCAGUCUAUCAAUGUUAUGUUACAUUGACACUAGCUAGAGAAUUGGGACUCCCCUCUAAAUUGGGUGCUUCAUCCUGAUAAAAAUCUGGAUGUGGCCUUAUGAUCAAAUAUAUUGUUGUUUUAGACAGAAUGUAUGGUCUUAUACAUUUUACUUGAGCCAACAACAGAUAGCUGCAAAGAUCUACACCAAUCCAAACUCAGUGGUAACAAUAGUUGUGUAUCAUGUAAGCACUAAUAAGAAGAAUACUGAAUUUUAGUUUGCAACAGCAGUUUACACUUAUCUUAGUAAAUUAAUUAGAUGAGUGUGCUAAUUUCAUUCUUCCACGUCUGUGGAACUUUUACCAAAGAAGCUUAUGUGCUGUCUGUGUUUCAGGUUUCUGGGACAUGUAUGACCCAGAGGGCUACUCUCUGUGGUUCUGUGACUACAAGUACAAUGAUGAGAACACCGUCUCCUUUGUGACCAUGAACAAGGUUGGUGGGUUCCUGCAGCGGAUGGACCUGUGCCGCAAGUACGCCUUUGGCAAGAUGCUCGUGGUCGGUUCUGAGCCCCCCUUCAAGUUGAAGGGGCUCUGGCUCUUCCGUGGCCAGGAGGUCCCCAAGUUUGUCAUGGAUGAGGUCUAUGACAUGGAGCUCUACGAGUGGACCAAGGUGGACAUCUCGGACGAGGCACAGAGGGAGCGUGUCAGUGCCAUGAUCGAGGACCAGGAGCCCUUCGAGGGUGAGGCCCUGCUUGAUGCCAAAUGCUUCAAGUGAGGUUGCACUUACCUAGAGAGAACUGUUUAGGCUUUGGGUCGGAUGUUUAUGGAAGAGUUUGCUUGUUACUUCUGUCUAUGUUGACCUGUUAUACUCAUGAGUUGUGGUUGGUUAAAUUUUGGGCUAUCCUGUGUUCUUUAGUAUUUGAUUGGGCUAUCUUUCAAGUCAGUAAUCUGGUGCUGUUGUCUUAUGUGACUGUUGGAUUAUUGGACUUGUAGUGCUUAGCUUAUUUUUAACAUUCCUAGUUGCAAUUGCAAGACAGCAAGAACAAGCGUCGUAGGAGUAGCUUUUGUUUUGCUUGUGUUUGAGCUCCAUGUAUUGAAACUGUUCUAGUGGUUUCACACUAAAAUGGUUGUGAAAGUCAGCACGGCUUUAGCCGAUUCAUUUGUUUCGCGAAAGCCUUCUUCGGUUAGAGGUGAGACAUGUGAUUAUUUCACAUUAUCAUUGGUGGGAAAGCAUAUGGACUAGGAGGCUACUAAGCAGGGAGGGGUCUCCGGAUAAGCCUUGGUCCAGACCCCUCCCCGCUGACGCACACACACCGCUCUCUUAUCUUCCUCGCUCCCGCUGAUGCACAUGCACCGCUCUCUUAUCUUCCUCACGUUGUUCCUGUCUUCCUUGGUUCCUCCGCAUGCCUCUCCCCCGCCUUGCCACCAGCAUCCCCUCGUCGACGUCACCUCCGUUGCCGGCGAGGACCGUCCUCCCCUACCCUCCCCUACCACCUCCGCCUCUCCCUCCUGUUCCUCCUACACUCUUCUCCUUCAGGAUGAGCUCCCCACCUCUUUCGGGUCCGGCAGCAUUGCCUCGAUGACCGCUCCCACCCUAAUCCAACCAAAGCAAUAAGCCCCAAACCCAACCGCCAUCCUCCACCACCGCGGUGGGUGGCGCCACCGCCGUCCCGCCCACACACCGACACCACCGCUGGUCCGGCAACCUCCCCCGACCAUCCCUUUAGACCCGGCAGGAACGGACCACCUCCCCAACCCCAAACCUCGAAACCUUAACCCCAACCCUAAGCCCUAACACGAAGGUUGCUGGAGUUGGAGGUUGCCAGAAUUCGAGCUGCCGAUCGAUGUGUGAUUUGUUACUUCUUCGAUUCGAUUGUUACCUAUUCUUCACUUUUCCCUCUUUUGGUCCUUGUUUCUUACCGACGUAUUUUGUCCUUCCAAAACAGGAGGGCUCUCGGUUUAAGUCUAAAUUGAGAGGCCUCUUCCUGCAGAUUAUGCGUAUGGACUAAUCGCACCAUUGACAACAUGAGAUUGUGCAAGGACAAUGUGCAAGCAUAGUGAUUUGGAAAAGGCAUCAAUUUUAUCAAUAGCACUGAAACAGCAACAUUUUACUAGUGAUGGUGAAAAUCAGCAAUAUAUGGGUUUACAGAGAACAAUUCUCCAAAGAAAUAAAGGAUAGCCCAAAAUAAACAGCACCAAUUCCUAGUUUCACGCCAUUUUUGCAUCCCCGGCUACUAGAUGAAAGCAUAUUUUUGUUACGUUCUGAUGAAUGGUACUCUUCCAUUAUAGUCGACAUGAAUUAUUGCGGCGAUUUGAGAAUCACUUUUGACGCCUCAUGCUCCACGAUUUUGUGUAUGGUUCAGGGUGGACUGCACAAUGAACGUACAAGUUGCAAACAGAAUUACUUAAGAUCAAGAUGGGUGCCACUGUUCUAGAAACAACAUUAGUUGCAAACAAGCAAAUGAGAAAUCAAGCAAUACUCAUGCAGAUGUGAUCAAGCUUUAUGUAUUUCUUUUUCUUUAUAUGACCAAGUUGUAGACCUUCGAAAUGUCUUUAACUCUACUCCCUCUGUUCCAAAUUGUAGGUCGUUUUAAUUUUCCUAGAUAUAGUAUAUAUCUAGAUGCAUAAUAAUAUCUAUAAAUCUAGAAAAGUCAAAACGAGUCAGAAAGGAUGGAGUAAGAUGAUAUGAAGACGUAAGACGUGCAUGUGCUACAUCAAAUCCAAAACUUGAUACUAAAUUCUUGCUCUCAAGUUUAGUUCCAGGUUUCUAAGUUCAGCUGAAACCAAGUUAAACUGUGAUUCUAUUCGAUCUAUUACUUACAGCCUGUUUGGAUACCCUGUGUUAAAGCUUAAUAAGUGUUAAAGUUUUAACACUCUCAAAUGGAGUGCUAAAGUUUAACACAUUGGGGUGUUUGGAUGGUGUGUUAAACUUUAACACCUUUGGUGGGAAAUGACUCCAUUGCCCUCUCAUUUAUGGCCGGCGGAGAGACAGGGAGGAGAGAGGAGGCAAUGGUGGGAAAAAGUGGAGAAGGAGGAUCACUUUUAAUAAGUUUAAUAACUUUUAACACCUCCUUAAGGUGUUUAUGAAAUUGGAGAUGUUAAACUUUAACACAUUCCUUUUAACACAUACCUUUAGGAGAUAAUGUGAUAAAAAUAUGUUAAAAAUGAGGUGUUAAACUUUAACACCCUCUAUCCAAUCAAUCAGGGCCUGAACUUACCCGCCACGGAAGGUAAAAGAUUGGUCAAUGCGAAAGGGUGGAAAUUGUUUGUUGUUUUGUGUUAAACACCCUCGUUAGCUCCGAAGAAAGUGUAGCCAGGACCUGAUUUUAAAUUGCAAGUUAGUACGAGGAGCUUAACCACAAAGGACCCAUCCAGAUCCGACGCAUCCAGCUCACCCCGCAAUCAAUCUCGUCCGUCCAAUCCUUCCCAUCCGGACGCCUGCCGCCGCAACCCUAGACAUUGGCUUCCUUCCCCCGUCCCCUCCGCUGCGCCGCCAUCGCAUAAAUUCGCCUCCCUCUCCCACCGUAAACCCCUCCCUCUUCCUCCGGCGGCCUGCUCCUGCGAUCUGUGCUGCGGAUCUGCUGAGGCUGCAGCGGGACCAGUCGACAUGGCGCUCGUGAGUUCCUUCGCGCUUCCACCUCUGGGUUUUGUUCCUGCUGUUUCAGAAGUGGCUCUGUGGUUCAUCGCGCAUCGGACUGCCUGUGCGGAUCCUAUGGUGGCCGCGGCUGUUGGGCUGAUGGGGUUUUGAUGCUUGAGGAUUCAUGCCAUGUAGUUAGCUUGAUGUACGCGGGUCACUUGGGUGUGGAAACUGUAGAUGCGAACGGGGUGUGGUAGGCUGCCUAGAUCCUCGACUCUGCUUUCGGUCAGGCGUGUCUUCAGUGAAACAUCACCGAUCCCCUGGUUCGUUUCAACUUCAACAGCACAAAAAACUUCGGCCUUCAGAAAGUGCAGCGAUAGGUCAUUUGUCCGCUUCGCUUCUUUACAACCGGGGGUUAGGGGGGUGAUGCCUUAGUGCUAAUGAUGUGAUUCAGAGUCGCUGACCUACUAGUAGAAUGGUUGGGUGUGCAUUUGUAUAGGGCCUUUGACCUUUGAUCCAGGGUGAUCAUGAUAUUUUGGUAGGGUGUAUAACCGUUUUAUGUGCAACUCAAGUAGAAUAAUGUAUUUGAACCAUUGGAUUCAAUUAGGAGCUAAUAUCUGGUCAUCCCAACCCAAGUCAUUUUAAGCUUCUGGUCCUUAGUUGUAAUUGAGUUGUAAGUUUUGAGGAAAUUGUUGCACACAUAGCAGUCUCUUUUGGGUGACCUUGAAAGGAAAAUAAGGGUGUUUUAGAGUGUUUAUCAUGAUGCAGCUCAGCUACAGUGCGUAGGAGGAAUUGAAGUUGAGAGGUGAAGCAUGAAUUGUGGUUUAUUUUGAUAAUUUCGCAGUUAGGCAAUUCAAAACAAGUACUGUUUGCUAUUCUAGUCCCACCUGCACAUUCCUUUACCUAGUUGUAUUUCUAAACCAUCUUGAUUGGCUUAAUUUGCAUGAUAAAUGCUCCUAUGUCUUGUUGGGAAACAGAGAUUUCACUGACCAUUUCCGAGUAUAAACACACAAUCUGGGCAAUUGGUGUCUUUGCUUGUGUAUUUUUCCCUACUAUAGUGAAACACAUCUGUCAAGUGGAUAAUGUUUAUGUUCUGGUUCUUCACUUAGAUAAUGGUCUAGAUGUCAUUACUUGGCUUGCAUGUGUACCAUUAAAUUAACAUUCACAGAGGACUUCCAAUUUUUAACUCUAUGUCUAAUAUAAUUUUCGUUGCAUAGGUAUUGCAUUCUGGACCUGGAAACAAGAAUGCCUUCAAGGCACUUAUUGCUGCAGAAUACAGUGGGGUCAAGGUUGAGCUGACCAAGAAUUUUGAGAUGGGUGUCUCCAACAAGACCCCUGAGUUUCUUAAGAUGAACCCCCUUGGGAAGGUACAACAUACACCAACUACAUCUUUGAAAUAGUUAUGUAUAGAGGUUCAGGACCUAACAAUUUCAUUCAGGUUCCUGUUCUGGAGACUCCGGAUGGUGCUAUUUUCGAGAGCAAUGCUAUUGCACGCUAUGGUAUAUACUUAAUUCCACACUUUUGAAUUCUAAUUCUUUCUUUGACUUUCUGUUGAUGGUAACGAUGGCUCUGUUUUUCUUUUAAGUUGCUCGCUUGAAGGAUGACAACCCUCUUUUUGGGUCUUCUCGUAUUGAACAAGUGAGUGAUUUAUUGGAUGGUAGCAUACCCUGAUAAGUAAGUUUUAGGCAUAUAACCUCUGAACCUCAUCAAUGGUUCUUGCAGGCCCAUGUUGAGCAAUGGAUGGACUUUGCUGCAACCGAAGUUGAUUCUGGUGUUGCAUGGUACUUGUACCCAAGGCUUGGUUACAUUCCUUAUGCUCAGACGGUAAGUUGUUGGAUGGGUAACUUGGAUCUGUAUUAUUGAACAAGGAAUAGCUAGUCUAACCUUUUUGCUUGUGCAGACCGAGGAAACAGCUAUUGCCUCAUUGAAGAGAGCGCUUGGUUCUCUGAACACACACCUUGCCUCAAAGACAUUCCUUGUUGGGCAUUCUGUCACUCUAGCCGACAUUGUAUUGACAUGCAACCUCUACCAUGGAUUUGCACGGAUCUUGACCAAGAGCUUCACAUCUGAAUUCCCUCAUGUUGAGAGGUAUUUCUGGACUAUGGUUAACCAGCCUAACUUCAAGAAGGUCAUGGGUGAUGUCAAGCAGGCAGAGUCAGUGCCUUCUGUUCAGAAAAAGGCCGCUGCUCAGCCAAAGGCAAAGGAUGUCAAGAAAGAAGCCCCAAAGGAGGCCCCGAAGCCAAAGGUGGAGGCACCAGCAGAAGAGGAGGCAC